UGAGCAAUCUGCCCUUCUCAUCGGAAUAAGCGUUGGAAACGACGUCUAAUGCCGAAUACGACCUCCUUUCGCAUGAUCGGAGGUGGAAAGCUCCGGCGGAGAAGGAUGAGCUCGCGGCCUAUCAGCUAGUUGGUGUGGGUAAUGGCCCACCAAGGCGACGACGGGUAGCCGGCCUGAGAGGGUGACCGGCCACACUGGGACUGAGAUACGGCCCAGACCUCCGUACGGGAGCAG
This 234-nucleotide ribosomal RNA is filed under the name uncultured bacterium. RNAcentral's name for it is "partial 16S ribosomal RNA". It matches the Rfam family "Bacterial small subunit ribosomal RNA", at positions 118 to 347 of the family's 1533-position model. The record is from RNAcentral.